Molecule: long non-coding RNA, 875 nt
Filed under: Homo sapiens (human)
Lineage: Eukaryota; Metazoa; Chordata; Mammalia; Primates; Hominidae
Description: novel transcript, antisense to NUP214
Source: RNAcentral
GCCACUCCUAGCUAUGUAACCAAAUGAAAAGUACACAUGUGCUCCGAGAGACACACACGGGAAUAUUCAGAACCUUUUCUGUAAUAGCUAUAAACUGAAAGCAGCACAUGUCCAACAGGAAAAUGAAUAAACAAAUACAGCAUAUUCAUACAAUAGAAUCCUAUACAGAGCAACUAAAAUAACAGCUAGAGGCAACAACACGGAUGGAUCUUACAAGCCUGAUGUGGAACAAGAGAAGCCUGUCCAGAGACUAAGUGAAUGGAUUUAUGUGGUAUGCAAAAACAGGCAAAACCAAAUCAUAGUGUUUUGGGAGGUAUGCUUACAUAGUAAAGCUCUGAAGGAAAACAAAGAAAAGGCGACUAAAGAGAAUGACAACUUACACAAUGCAGAAUCCUGGAUUGGAUCCUAGAUCCAAUCAACGUGUAGGGAUGCUGAUCCCACUCCAAGUCUAGAACAUCAUUCACAUCUUGGACAGCAAAUUUCACAUACUGAUGAAGGCGCCGAAUUUCCUAUAAGAAAAAAAUUAAAAGUCAUUCUGCAAAAUCUACAAGUGGAUAGCGCACCACCACUACCUGGGCCCACUGUGUCCCUGCAAGAAAGACAACGUGAAAGAAGGUUCUUGUAUGCAAAGGCAUACCGGUAGUAGAGCCAUCACCACAUCUGGAGACGUUUCCAGGGUCCCAUCUGCAGCAGCAUACACUAUGGCGAAGACGUAGGUACCAAUCCACAGCACAUCCAGAACUGAAAGACACAUCUUAAUCAGUAGCUCAUAAAAAUGACAGCAACCAGAUACAAGAAAAAGCAGCUUAUGUUUGGAAUAGCCACUAUGGAUAAAAAAAAAAUCAAAGGCCCUGAUUUCAUUGACUAAAUAUAAU